Molecule: ribosomal RNA, 253 nt
Filed under: uncultured bacterium
Lineage: Bacteria
Description: partial 16S ribosomal RNA
Rfam family: Bacterial small subunit ribosomal RNA
Source: RNAcentral
UACGAAGGGUGCAAACGUUGCUCAGAAUUAUUGGGCGUAAAGCGCACGUAGGCGGCUUGGCAAGUCGGAUGUGAAAUCCCUCGGCUCAACCAAGGAAGUGCAUCCGAAACUGCUGAGCUUGAGUACUUAAGAGGAUCGCGGAAUUCCCGGUGUAGAGGUGAAAUUCGUAGAUAUUGGGAAGAACACCGGUGGCGAAGGCGGCGACCUGGUCCGAUACUGACGCUGAGGCGCGAAAGCGUGGGGAGCAAACAGG